GAUGAAGAACGUAGGGAAAUGCGAUACGUAAUGUGAAUUGCAGAAUUCAGUGAAUCAUCGAAUCUUUGAACGCAAAUUGCGCUCUCUGGUAUUCCGGAGAGCAUGCUUGUUUGAGUAUCAGUAAACACCUCAACUUCCAUAUCUUUUUUGAAAUGGGAGUUGGACUUGAGUGAUCCCAACGCUUUUCCUCACCGAAAAGUGGCGGGUUACUUGAAAUGCAGGUGCAGCUGGACUUUUCUCUGAGCUAUAAGCAUAUCUAUUUAGUCUGCCUAAAAAACAGAUUAUUACCUUUGCUGCAGCUAACAUAAAGGAGAUUAGUUCUUGUGCUGACUGAUGCAGGAUUCACAAAGACAGGCUUCGGCCGACUUUGUAAACUCGAUCUCAAAUCAAGUAAGACUACCCGCUGAACUUAAGCAUAUCAAUAAGCGGAGGA
This 433-nucleotide unclassified non-coding RNA is filed under the name soil metagenome. RNAcentral describes it as "partial contains 5.8S ribosomal RNA, internal transcribed spacer 2, and large subunit ribosomal RNA". The stretch from base 1 to 120 matches the Rfam family "5.8S ribosomal RNA", at positions 35 to 154 of the family's 154-position model. The record is from RNAcentral.